RNAcentral lists this ribosomal RNA (1150 nucleotides) under Biston regalis. RNAcentral's name for it is "partial 16S ribosomal RNA". Lineage: Eukaryota; Metazoa; Arthropoda; Insecta; Lepidoptera; Geometridae. The record is from RNAcentral.
UUUUAUAAUUAAUAAAGUUAUAUUUAAUAAAAAUAAUUUUAAUUUAAUAAAUAUUUUAAUGGGGGUUAAAGUAUUUUUAAAGAAAAAAUUUUUAAAUUUAUAGUUAAUUAGUAUUGUGAAAGAAUUUUGAAAUAUUUGAAAAUAUAAUUUUAAUAAAGUAAUUUUAAUUUGUUGUAUCUUGUGUAUCAGAGUUUAUUAAAAAUUUUUAAUUUUUAAUUUCUCGAAUUUGAAAGAGUUAGAUAAUUAUUAAAGUUAUUGUAGCAAAAUUAUUUUAAAUAGUUAUUUAGAAAUGAAAUGUUAAUCGUUUUUAAAUAUAUCUAGUUUUUAUAGAAAAAAUUUUAAUUUUAAAUUUAAUUUUAUUAUUAAUUUAUUUAUUAAUUAAAUAUUUAUUUAAAUUUUAUAAUUUAAGGGAUAAGCUUUAAAUUAAAUUUUUAUAAUAAAAUUUAUUUAUUUUGAAAAUUUUAUAAUUUAAAUUGUUAAUAAAUUAUAUUUUAUUAUAAAUAAUUUCAUAUAAAAAAAAAUUUAAAUUUUUGUUUAAUUUUAUAUAUAAAAUUUAUUUUUAAUUGUAAAAGAUUAGUUAUAAUGAUAAAAUUAGUAUAUUUAUAAUUUUUAAUUAUUGAUUUAAUUAAUUAAAAGGAAUUCGGCAAAUAUUUAUUUUCACUUGUUUAUCAAAAACAUGUCUUUUUGUUAAUUUAAAGUCUAAUCUGCCCACUGAUAAUUAAAGGGCUGCAGUAUUUUGACUGUACAAAGGUAGCAUACUCUUUAGUCUCUUAAUUGGUGACUUGUAUGAAAGAUUGGGUGAAAAAUAUACUGUCUCUUAAUUAGUGUAUAGAAUUUAAUUUUUUAAUUUAAAAGGUAAAAUAAAUUAAAAAGACGAGAAGACCCUAUAGAGUUUUAUAAAAAUAAUUUUAUAAAUUUAUUUAUUUUAUUGGGGUGAUAGAAAAAUAAAUAUAACUUUUUUUAAAAAAUUUAACAAAAAUAAAUGAUUAAUUGAUCCAAUUUAUUAUUGAUUAUAAGAUUAAAUUACCUUAGGGAUAACAGGGUAAUUUUUUUUUUUAGUUCAAAUAAAAAAAAAAGUUUGCGACCUCGAUGUUGGAUUAAGAUAAAAUUUAAAUGCAAAAGUUUAAAAUUUUUGAUCUGUUCGAUCAUU